Halobacillus sp. BAB-2008 is the source of this 121-nucleotide regulatory RNA element. It matches the Rfam family "Ribosomal protein L20 leader". From Rfam's summary of the family: This family is a putative r-protein leader autoregulatory structure found in B. subtilis and other low-GC Gram-positive bacteria. It is located in the 5' untranslated regions of mRNAs encoding initiation factor 3 followed by ribosomal proteins L35 and L20 (infC-rpmI-rplT). A Rho-independent transcription terminator structure that is probably involved in regulation is included at the 3' end. NCBI's taxonomy places the organism in Bacteria, Bacillati, Bacillota, Bacilli, Caryophanales, Bacillaceae. The record is from Rfam.
AGAGACAAGUAGAAGCACCCGCUUCUCACCUGAUCGACGCGUAAGCAGUUGGCAGGUCACUAUUCCUUUGAUUUAUUAGGAGACGUGUGGGUGCAGUAUGUGCCGACACUUUUUUUAUUUG